This is a long non-coding RNA of Theobroma umbraticum, 593 nucleotides long. RefSeq lists it as uncharacterized. The record is from RefSeq and is a predicted model, not a curated record. Lineage: Eukaryota; Viridiplantae; Streptophyta; Magnoliopsida; Malvales; Malvaceae.
AGGAAACCCAUUUAUCCCUUUACUAAUCUAAAACCAAGGAAAGAUUAGACAGAGCAAGGUAUCCCAAUAAUAUUGUCUCAACUUCCAGAAAGCUAGAUAUGAAAGAAAAAGCAGUUCUCUCAUGUCCCCUUAAUCCUUAGGAAAAUCUGUUUGUUAGCUUUGACAUCUAUAAUGCACCAUACAGGGCGAUGGAACAGGAUCCCACUGUUGUCAAAAUCCAAGCAAGUGAAAGUUGAGUGGCAUGAGGCAUCCAUUGUGGGACAAAUAGUAACAAACAAUAGCACAACAGAAGAGUGAAAGGGAUCGGGAGAUGGAGGUUUAUGUGGCUUAUAAUUCAGGAAAGAAAUGGGAAAAGCAAGCAAGUUGAUGAUGCAUGGACAACAAGAUGUGAACACUAUCACUAUAGUUGAUUUAGAAUAUAUAUAUAUAUAUAUAUAUAUAUAUCUUUAGAAACAAUUUUUUCUAUUAUUCUUGAUGUUGGACAGAAAUUAUGGUAAUCAAACAUACGGUGUAGCUUGCAACUGCCUCUUAAAAUUGGGGACCUACAUGUCCAAUUGACAGUUUUGGUCCCAACUGUUUUCAUUAUGAUUGCA